Long non-coding RNA from Dermacentor andersoni, 1021 nucleotides. RefSeq lists it as uncharacterized. Lineage: Eukaryota; Metazoa; Arthropoda; Arachnida; Ixodida; Ixodidae. The record is from RefSeq and is a predicted model, not a curated record.
AGCGCUGUUUGAAUUUUAUUGUUGCUACGCAGUGGCUGUCACGGAUUCGUGUGCUUAAAUAAGCAUUCGAUGUACUAUAGGGAGAGUUAUAACCGAAAGUACUCUCGUUUGUCGUUACAAUUGUGCCUGCUUGAAAGGUUACAUGUCCAGUGCAAGCACUGCUUGUCGUUCGAACAUAUGAGCUGAGCGAAAAGCCGACGUUGGAUUCUGUGUUUCUUGGUCCGAAGUUUACCGAUGAAAGCUCAACUUCUCUUCGUGACCACGUCUCUUUUAGUCUUCGGCCAAGUACUUCGAGCUGCCAGCAAGGAUGACCCGAAACAACGGUUUCCCGUGCAAAUGCAUAUCAAUAAAACCAUAGUGCUGGCAAACUUAACGUUGGCAUUUAGGCACUGGUUAAUAUGGCACUACACGUUUAUCUUUACAAAUGGCUUGCUCUCUGUACGUAACAGCGGAAAUCUAAGUGGGAACUGCGAGCUAAAAGUGGGAGAGAAAAUGUCCGUAAUUUUUUGUCCCUUCGACCUUUCGAGAAGCGUUGCAACGUACCUCGUCAUAAAGAAGAACAGCUUGAGACGGAAGGAGCAAUACUUCAACAUCACUCACAACAUCGAGAAGGGAACUUUUGAUGUGUAUGUGUGGUUCAAAUCGCCUAUUGGUCGGGCGAAUUUAGAAGCACAUACUUGCAUUUGCAGUCUCAUUCUGAGGUCGGUGAGUUUGUACAUCGACCCGCCAUCUACCUCGAUGUUCGGCAAAGUUGCAACAAAGUUUAGUGACUACGCCAUAACAAAUAUUCAAAAGGAAAUUGAAAGAGAGUUCAAGAACUUCUGCGCGAGGGCUGCUACAAAGAUCGAGGAAGAGUUUCGAAACCGACGACACACUAACGUUCGUGUGUAACAUCCUCCAUCGGUAUAUCGUGGAGGCAGGCAUAUCGUCCGGCAUUGCAAGGCUACGAAAAUAAACGCUGCUCGGUCCGUGACGUGCGCAUGAGCAUGGCGUGGCUGGCAGAAAGGUUCCUGGCAGCUAA